RNAcentral lists this unclassified non-coding RNA (400 nucleotides) under uncultured fungus. Its description in RNAcentral is "sequence contains ITS1". The stretch from base 1 to 106 matches the Rfam family "5.8S ribosomal RNA", at positions 50 to 154 of the family's 154-position model. Lineage: Eukaryota; Fungi. The record is from RNAcentral.
AAACUGCGAAAAGUAAUGUGACCUGCAAUCUUCGUGAAUCAUCCAAUCUUUGAACGCAAUUUGCACCUCGUUGCCUCGGUAACAAGGUAUACUUGUUUGAGUAUCACAAACAACCUCACCUUCCCUUUGGGCUAGCUGGUGGAUAUGAGUGAUCAACGCCAGUUACAGACUACUUUGUCUGUGAAAUGGCUUUGUCGCUUUAAAUGAAGUAGACUCUGAAAGUCUCAGCGUUGAGAUGACUAUUGGGAUAACAUCCUAACAAUAGACAUUGCUUUGACUUUGGUUUUUGUGCCACGGUGCAAAAAGAGAGCCUCAAAUGAAAGUCCUGCAUGUUGGGUUUUACCGGCACGCGGAUGGACAACUCGUAUGUGAUGUUGAUCUCAAAUCAAGUAGGGAUACC